UUUAGAAUCAAAGCUUUAAGUUUGAAUCUGAUACUGUUGCAUUUACUAAACAUAUCACUAUGUUAUUCUGGUUUUUAUUUUCCUGUUUUUAUUCCUGAUUAAUUGAUUUCAUAUUUUAACAGAAACGAAUGUGGGAAAUCAAUGGACCAAGGGGGCAGUACUUUUCCUCAUGGACACUUAUGCUGAACAUAAGGAGCAAUUUGCAAUUCCAACUUGAAAAUAGAGGUAUGGAAGAGGAUUGCUUCGGAAAUGGCAUCCUCAGGAUGCCACUUUGCUCCAGCAGCACUUGAGAAAAAAAUGGAGCAAUAUGAAAAUAUGGUACAAAGCUAUAUUAGAUUUCAACAAGAAAACGGGCCAGGGAAGAUCACGAUGGAAUUUCUAUUCCAGAAUGGCUGAAAUCUUGGAAGGAGACCCUUUGUUCAUCCCACCACUGACAUCAUCAUCACUGGGGAGUGUAAAAGUAAACACUCUCUCCGAGAUCUCCAAUACCCAGCAAUGUGCCACCCCUACAAAGAAGCAAG
This is a long non-coding RNA of Pomacea canaliculata, 521 nucleotides long. RefSeq lists it as uncharacterized. The record is from RefSeq and is a predicted model, not a curated record. The transcript has 3 exons. NCBI's taxonomy places the organism in Eukaryota, Metazoa, Mollusca, Gastropoda, Architaenioglossa, Ampullariidae.